Molecule: long non-coding RNA, 1611 nt
Organism: Bos indicus x Bos taurus (hybrid cattle)
Lineage: Eukaryota; Metazoa; Chordata; Mammalia; Artiodactyla; Bovidae
Source: Ensembl
AUGGGAUUUUCCAGGCAAGAACACUGGAGUGGGUGGCCAUGCCCUCCUCUUAACAACAGCUGGUGUCACCCUAAUAUGUACAGUUUGACAGGAUUUUCUUUCACCUUGAAAAACUGCACAUGGAGGAGAGCUCCUUUGCCUGAUUCCUGCAGUCUGAACAUAUCCUACUGGGUAGAGGUAAAUUGCUUUUUUAUUCUGUAUUCUGUUAUAUUUUUGAAAAAUGAUUUUCAAAUCAGGGAUUUGAUUCCUCUCUUGGUAUUGAAAGAUCAUAAACAAAUACAUUUUUAUGUUAUUUUUCUUUAGUAAGCUUUAUGAUUUUAUCCCCAGCAACUGGACUAAUUCAAUAAGCAACAGACCGUAAGGCAGUAAAUGGAUACCCUAUUAAUUUUUAUUGCUAAAGUUUCUUUUAUGUACUAUUUGAUCUAAAGAUGUUAUUCACAUUUUUAUGGUGAUACUGGCAGACUGGAAAAAAACCUAACUCUAUAAUUCUUACUGAUGAAGUCUGGGUAUUUUUAACUCAGCGGCUCAAGGAAUGACAACAAUUCACAUCUCAGGAGCCAGUUCAUUAAGUGAAAGCCUGUGUGAAAAGGGAAGAGCAAAGAAGUUCGAGCAGGGUUUCGUUGCUCAAUCAAUAGAACACAGUCGGGAAGGUUUAACCACAGUGCUAGUAUCAGUUCACGACGCGAGGUUGGCGGAUGAUUCAUCCUUUUCUUUGUUCAUAUUCCAGACGGGAAACAUAGGCCUGACUUACCUCGAAAAUAGUUUCUUUAAAUCGCUUUGAUUCUGAGGUUGCACAAAAUUGGAGCUAAAACAGUCGACCAUUAAAACAGAAUGUUCAAAUUAAAAAAAAAAAAAAAUUAAGGAAAGGAAAGGAAAACAAGAAUGUACCUGGUUCCCAGAUGGACUGACAUUGCAUAGGUCCUGGUCUCCAAGACGAAUUUGCUUCUAACUAUGAAGAAGGAAAUGGCAACCCACUCCAGUGUUCUUGCCUGGAGAAUCCCAGGGACAGGGGAGCCUGGUGGGCUGCCGUCUCAGGGGUCGCAGAGUCGGACACAACUGAAGCGACUUAGCAGCAGCAGCAGCGUGAAGCUGUACUAACUGUUGAGUACAGCAAAGUCUCCCAGCCCAGACUCACCCUGGUUAACCCAGGUCUUGAAAUGCGUAUUCCCUCCUCUUUGAAGAAAAUCCUCCCAGGUGGCACUAGUGGUAAAGAAUCUGCCUGCCAACGCAGGAGACGCAGGAGACGCAGGAGACGCAGGAGACGCAGCUUCAAUCCCUGGGUUGAGACGGUCCCUGGAGGAGGCGUGGCAACCACUCCAGUGUUCUUGCCUGGAACAUUCCAUGGACAGAGGAGUCUGGCGGGGUAUAGUUCAUGAAGUUGCAAAGAGCUGGACACAACUGAGCACACACACACAACACAACACCUUUGAAAAAAUGUGUGUCCUACAGAGACAUGGAAGAAAUGCUGAAUCCAGUAUUAACACCGGAGUUUAGGCCAGGCCUUUCCAGGACUGUGUUUAUAGCAAUUUGACCAUCAUUUACUGAGAACUUAUAUUUAAACUUCAUGGAAAUACGAAUAAAUACAGUUAAUGCCCACUAGGAGCUUAAUAG